Long non-coding RNA from Oncorhynchus nerka (sockeye salmon), 2905 nucleotides. RefSeq lists it as uncharacterized. The transcript is spliced from 3 exons. The record is from RefSeq and is a predicted model, not a curated record. Lineage: Eukaryota; Metazoa; Chordata; Actinopteri; Salmoniformes; Salmonidae.
GCUAUUCGGUGAGUAUCUGAGGUCAUUUUGCUUAAUUUACAACGAAUGUAACGUGGAUGACUAUAAAUGUGAUGAAAUAUGACAAUAACACCUCUAGUCAACCGCCUUGUUUGACUACAGGGGCUUCCCAAACUGUAAUUUAAUAACUUUUGUAGAUCGCUAGCUACUGUAGCCUGCUGCUGCACAGGCAGGUUAGUAUUGGCUAUAAAUCAUUUUUCUGUCAGCCAUCGAUGCCACUCGUUGAGUAUAUGAGGUAAUUGUGCUUAAUUUGCAACAAAUGACAACUAAAUGUGAUGAAAUAUGACAAUAACACGUCUAUCCAACCGACUUGUUUGACUACAGGGGCUACCCAACUUGUGUAAUUUAACAACGGUUGUAUAUCGCUAGCUACUGUAGGUGGACAUAACUCACAACGUUUAUUUGACCACUGACAAUCCUGUAAAACCUUAGCUAACAUCUAUAUCAUCUAAAAGUUGGAAUUCUAUACUAUUUAUUUGUCUAUUUUCCUUCGUUAUUUGAUGGCAUGCAUUUAAAGUGUAUGUAGUUGAAUGAAUUGUAUUGAUGGUCAUUGGGGCAAACGUGUCUUUCUAUGUAAACUGAAUUUAACUGCAUGUGAAAUAAUAAUCACCCUAAUCCUACCCAUAACCCCCCACUGCUGUCCUCCUCCUAGCAGACCUAUCAAGCAAACAUAAGUUCCUUUAUAUGUAUCUAAUACGGUUAUGCUGUCACUUGUCACUGCACUCAUCAGUCAUGAUAAUAGUAUUUUUCUUGCCUCCUAAGAUGGAAAAUCCAAGGUUCCGUUUCACGCCCUCACAGGAGUUGGUCCUCAAGGUCACACACCCCAGGCAGUAAAAGUGGCCGCUGACGGCCCCCCCUGCUUCUGGUGCUCAGGGCCCCCCCUGCUUCUGGUGCUCAGGGCCCUCCUGCUUCUGGUGCUCAGGGCCCUCCUGCUUCUGGUGCUCAGGGCCCUCCUGCUUCUGGUGCUCAGGGCCCUCCUGCUUCUGGUGCUCAGGGACCCCCUGUUUCUGGUGCUCAGGGCCCUCCUGUGAGGACGCCUUAACUCGCUACUCGUGCGCCUAUCCGGCCUUCGCUGAGAUGGUCAGGUUCAACCGGGCGCACGUGUGACAGGUUAAAGGACAUAUUCAUAGCCUGUUAUACAUUGAAAAGUAUUAGUAAGUUCAUAGUAUGUGAGGAUCUUAAAACAUCUAAGGUGAAAAAGAUGCAUUCAGUAUUAGUUGAUAGAGAUUGAUAACAUUCAUAUAAUUGUGUUAAAGUUAAAAUCUGUCAAAGGGUACGAAUUGUGAGAGUAAUGUGUAAACGUUAUAUUGAUUACUUUAUUUUGUGGUGCCUAAAAGUGUUAAUCUGUGAUCUACGAAAUGCUCUUAAUCUAUGAGCCGGAGAUCGUCUCCACCCAUAUGGUCUCCACCCGUAUUCCUGGGGAAAAUCGCGGUCUUUUCUCAUUGAACUAAACGUUGAAUUGAGAAUACAACACCGUAUCACUGUCGUGAUUAUUUCUCCCCUGUUUUCAGGUACUUUAUUGAUGAUAAAAAUAGUAAUUUAAAUGUUAUAACUCGCUAACAUGUCAAUAGUGUUUAAGGUGUGUUUUAGGAUAGUCUUGAGGAAGUUUGAGUUAAGUUUGAAGAGAGUAAUAUUAGCCCUGCUCGGUUGAAGUGAAGAAUAGCAUCGUACUGAGAGUAGCUGCCAUUUUAUGUUGUUUGUGAAUGAACAUGCGCGUUGUUAAAAAGAUAUUUUGCUGUGUUAUUUGUAUAAUGGGUUUUCUGUUGUUUUGUAAUGUGUUACUUUUGUGAAAUGAAUGACACUAAACGUUGAAUUGAGAAUACAACACCGUAUCACUGUCGUGAUUAUUUCUCCCCUGUUUUCAGGGGCGUAACACGAGGAAGCUAAAGUCCUGUCCUUCCAGCCAGGCCAGGAGGGCAAGGCCCUUGUUGGCUUCAGGAAGUACAAGUGGGACUCACUGCAGGACCUGUAUGAGGCUACGGGUGCAGACAGGAUAAAAUAUGUCAGGAGCUUGAGGACGCAGACACCCCGUUAUCCUGUGAGUGCGAUGGCCGCCUUGAUUGACUACAUUCAGCGCAGAGACCAGGAGGGGUUAGCUGCUGUGGCCAGGCCCGCCGCAGCCAGCACCGCCCCAGCCAGCACCAUCCGGCCCGAGUGCGGCUACGUAAGUGUAGGGGCCGGACCCUGAUUGGCUACAUAAGUGUAGGGGCCUGACCCUGAUUGGCUACGUAAGUGUAGGGGCCGGACCCUAAUUGGCUACAUAAGUGUAGGGGCCUGACCCUGAUUGGCUACGUAAGUGUAGGGGCCGGACCCUGAUUGGCUACGUAAGUGUAGGGGCCGGACCCUGAUUGGCUACGUAAGUGUAGGGGCCGGACCCUGAUUGGCUACGUAAGUGUAGGGGCCGGACCCUGAUUGGCUACGUAAGUGUAGGGGCCGGACCCUGAUUGGCUACGUAAGUGUAGGGGCCGGACCCUGAUUGUUACAUGUUAUUUGAACGAACACAUUCAUUUUUGGGGGUAAUUUCUUUUCUUUUAAUUAACUUAAAGUUGUAUUGAUUUUUUAUUGUUUGGAUUGUUUAUUUUUGUAAGAUAAACUAAAUGUAUGGCCUAACAACAUCACCUUUGGGGAACCGCCUGUUCAGAACUGGAGGCCACCAUGGACGGCUACAUGUCAGGUGUGGAGGUGGGUCCUUUUGUUUCCCAGCAUUAUUUGUUUUUUUGUGUGUUACAACUCUGUGUGUUUGACCGAGAAAAUGACUGAUUUGCUUGUCUUUUUAUUUGUUGAACUUUAAGAGUGUAUGACAGUAAAUCAAAAUGAAUUUAAUUUAAGGGAGAAAGUGCUUGUAUUCCAUGUAUUUAUUUCACAGGGAAUGUCAUGUGUGAAGCAA